AUUGAACGCUGGCGGCAAGCCUAACACAUGCAAGUCGAACGAGUGGCGGACGGGUGAGUAAUGUCUGGGAAACUGCCUGCUGGAGGGGGAUAACUACUGGAAACGGUAGCUAAUACCGCAUACCAUCGGAUGUGCCCAGAUGGGAUUAGCUAGUUGGUGGGGUAAAGGCUCACCUAGGCGACGAUCCCUAGCUGGUCUGAGAGGAGGACCAUCCACACUGAAACUGAGACACGGUCCAGACUCCUACGGGAGGCAGCAGUGGGGAAUAUUGCACAAGGGGCGCAAGCCUGAUGCAGCCAUGCAGCGUGUAUGAAGAAGGCCUUCGGGUUGUAAAGUACUUUCAGCGGGGAGGCGUUACCCGCAGAAGAAGCACCGGCUAACUCCGUGCCAGCAGCCGCGGUAAUAC
This 406-nucleotide ribosomal RNA is filed under the name uncultured bacterium. Its description in RNAcentral is "partial 16S ribosomal RNA". It matches the Rfam family "Bacterial small subunit ribosomal RNA", at positions 30 to 526 of the family's 1533-position model. The record is from RNAcentral.